GAGCCCGUAGCUCAGUCGGUAGAGCACGUGACUUUUAAUCAUGGGGCCAUGGGUUCGAGUCCCAUCGGGCUCACCA
Molecule: transfer RNA, 76 nt
Filed under: Magnetospirillum gryphiswaldense
Lineage: Bacteria; Pseudomonadati; Pseudomonadota; Alphaproteobacteria; Rhodospirillales; Rhodospirillaceae
Also listed under: 2 other names
Description: tRNA-Lys
Rfam family: tRNA
About the family: Transfer RNA (tRNA) molecules are approximately 80 nucleotides in length.
Source: RNAcentral